AUUGAACGCUGGCGGCAGGCUUAACACAUGCAAGUCGAGCGGGGUGAUGGUGCUUGCACUAUCACUUAGCGGCGGACGGGUGAGUAAUGCUUAGGAAUCUGCCUAUUAGUGGGGGACAACAUCUCGAAAGGAUGCUAAUACCGCAUACGUCCUACGGGAGAAAGCAGGGGAUCACUUGUGACCUUGCGCUAAUAGAUGAGCCUAAGUCGGAUUAGCUAGUUGGUGGGGUAAAGGCCUACCAAGGCGACGAUCUGUAGCGGGUCUGAGAGGAUGAUCCGCCACACUGGGACUGAGACACGGCCCAGACUCCUACGGGAGGCAGCAGUGGGGAAUAUUGGACAAUGGGGGGAACCCUGAUCCAGCCAUGCCGCGUGUGUGAAGAAGGCCUUAUGGUUGUAAAGCACUUUAAGCGAGGAGGAGGCUCUUCUGGUUAAUACCCAAGAUGAGUGGACGUUACUCGCAGAAUAAGCACCGGCUAACUCUGUGCCAGCCGCCGCAGUAA
This 502-nucleotide ribosomal RNA is filed under the name uncultured bacterium. Its description in RNAcentral is "partial 16S ribosomal RNA". It matches the Rfam family "Bacterial small subunit ribosomal RNA", at positions 30 to 523 of the family's 1533-position model. The record is from RNAcentral.